AACGAACGCUGGCGGCAUGCCUAACACAUGCAAGUCGAACGAGACCUUCGGGUCUAGUGGCGCACGGGUGCGUAACGCGUGGGAAUCUGCCCUGGGGUGCGGAAUAACUCGGAGAAAUCCGUGCUAAUACCGCAUAAUGUCUUCGGACCAAAGAUUUAUCGCCCUGGGAUGAGCCCGCGUAGGAUUAGCUAGUUGGUGGGGUAAAGGCCUACCAAGGCGACGAUCCUUAGCUGGUCUGAGAGGAUGAUCAGCCACACUGGGACUGAGACACGGCCCAGACUCCUACGGGAGGCAGCAGUGGGGAAUAUUGGACAAUGGGCGAAAGCCUGAUCCAGCAAUGCCGCGUGAGUGAUGAAGGCCCUAGGGUUGUAAAGCUCUUUACCCGGGAUGAUAAUGACAGUACCGGGAGGAAUAAGGACUCCGGCUAACUCCGUGCCAGCAGCCGCGGU
RNAcentral lists this ribosomal RNA (449 nucleotides) under uncultured bacterium. Its description in RNAcentral is "bacterial SSU rRNA". It matches the Rfam family "Bacterial small subunit ribosomal RNA", at positions 29 to 521 of the family's 1533-position model. The record is from RNAcentral.